AACAUCGCGCACCUGCGGGAACCUGCGGAAGGAUCAUUACUGAGUCACGUGCUCAAACAACCCUUCUGUGGACCUGAAAUAAACCGUUGCCUCGGCGGGCGGUCCCCCCAAGCAAACCCCACGUGGUGGGUUAGGGGACCAGACAGUCCGGCACGCUUAAGGCGUCCGGCGCCAGCCGCUGGCCCCAAACAAUUAAACUCUAGUAACCUUUACCUUCUGAGUUUCAAUAUUUAAAAAUAA
This 240-nucleotide unclassified non-coding RNA is filed under the name soil metagenome. RNAcentral's name for it is "partial contains 5.8S ribosomal RNA, internal transcribed spacer 2, and large subunit ribosomal RNA". The record is from RNAcentral.